Molecule: ribosomal RNA, 465 nt
Filed under: Vreelandella stevensii
Lineage: Bacteria; Pseudomonadati; Pseudomonadota; Gammaproteobacteria; Oceanospirillales; Halomonadaceae
Description: partial 16S ribosomal RNA
Rfam family: Bacterial small subunit ribosomal RNA
Source: RNAcentral
CCUACGGGAGGCUGCAGUGGGGAAUAUUGGACAAUGGGCGAAAGCCUGAUCCAGCCAUGCCGCGUGUGUGAAGAAGGCCUUCGGGUUGUAAAGCACUUUCAGUGGGGAAGAAAGCCUUGGGGCUAAUACCCUCGAGGAAGGACAUCACCCACAGAAGAAGCACCGGCUAACUCCGGGCCAGCAGCCGCGGUAAUACGGAGGGUGCGAGCGUUAAUCGGAAUUACUGGGCGUAAAGCGCGCGUAGGCGGUCUGAUAAGCCGGUUGUGAAAGCCCCGGGCUCAACCUGGGAACGGCAUCCGGAACUGUCAGGCUAGAGUGCAGGAGAGGAAGGUAGAAUUCCCGGUGUAGCGGUGAAAUGCGUAGAGAUCGGGAGGAAUACCAGUGGCGAAGGCGGCCUUCUGGACUGACACUGACGCUGAGGUGCGAAAGCGUGGGUAGCAAACAGGAUUAGAUACCCUAGUAGUC